Molecule: ribosomal RNA, 482 nt
Filed under: uncultured bacterium
Lineage: Bacteria
Description: partial 16S ribosomal RNA
Rfam family: Bacterial small subunit ribosomal RNA
Source: RNAcentral
AUUGAACGCUGGCGGCAUGCUUUACACAUGCAAGUCGAACGGUAACAGGCCGCUAGGUGCUGACGAGUGGCGAACGGGUGAGUAAUGCAUCGGAACGUGCCCAGUCGUGGGGGAUAACUACUCGAAAGAGUAGCUAAUACCGCAUACGAUCUAUGGGUGAAAGCGGGGGACCGUAAGGCCUCGCGCGAUUGGAGCGGCCGAUGUCAGAUUAGGUAGUUGGGGGGGUAAAGGCUCACCAAGCCAACGAUCUGUAGCUGGUCUGAGAGGACAACCAGCCACACUGGGACUGAGACACGGCCCAGACUCCUACGGGAGGCAGCAGUGGGGAAUUUUGGACAAUGGGCGCAAGCCUGAUCCAGCAAUGCCGCGUGCAGGAAGAAGGCCUUCGGGUUGUAAACUGCUUUUGUACGGAACGAAACGGCUCUGGUUAAUACCCGGGGCUAAUGACGGUACCGUAAGAAUAAGCACCGGCUAACUACGUG